AUUGAACGCUGGCGGCAUGCCUAACACAUGCAAGUCGAGCGGCAGAACGGGGCGUGACCCCGGAUUCCGAGGGGGACGGGUGAGUGAUGCAUAGGAGAAUGCCUGGUAUAGGGGGAUAGCAUCUGUAAACGGACGCUAAUAUAGCACACGCCACGAGGGAGAAAAAGGGGGAUACUUGGAGACCACGCAAUAUGAUGACCCUAGGUCGGAUUAGCUAGUUGGUGGGGUAAAGGCCUACCAAGGCGACGAUCCGUAGCUGGUCUGAGAGGAUGAUCAGCCACACUGGAACUGAGACACGGUCCAGACUCCUACGGGAGGCAGCAGUGGGGAAUAUUGGACAAUGGGCGAAAGCCUGAUCCAGCCAUGCCGCGUGAGUGAAGAAGGUCUUCGGAUUGUAAAGCUCUUUAAGUUGGGAAGAAGGGGUGUGUGUUAAUACCUUGCUGUUUUGACGGUACCAACAGAAGAAGCACCGGCUAACUACGUG
This 484-nucleotide ribosomal RNA is filed under the name uncultured bacterium. RNAcentral describes it as "partial 16S ribosomal RNA". It matches the Rfam family "Bacterial small subunit ribosomal RNA", at positions 30 to 507 of the family's 1533-position model. The record is from RNAcentral.